Molecule: long non-coding RNA, 1069 nt
Filed under: Androctonus crassicauda
Lineage: Eukaryota; Metazoa; Arthropoda; Arachnida; Scorpiones; Buthidae
Source: RNAcentral
GUUGGGGGUAAGCUUAUACACAGAUUUUCAUUUUUACCAAUUUUUAAACUCUGAAAUUGGAGAGUUGGCUUAUACAUGAAUCGGCUUAUAUUUGAGUGCAUAUGAUAAUUAAUUAUUAAUUUGGCAGGUAAUUCAAAAAUUAUUCACUAGGGGAGUUUGAACUAGUUUAGGGUUAUUUAAUUAAAUAAACUUUAGUGGGGACCACUUCCGGUAUAUAUUCACGUCGGUUCAGGUUCUACAAUUCAAAAAGCGUAAUUUUCCAACAUUUAAAGUAGAAAAAUGAUUAGCUAGCUGGUACAUCACACAUAUGAAAAAUCAUGAAUAGACACACUCCUCAGCCAUUGAAGUAAUAGACAAACUGAACGAAUUAGAACCACUUUGUGAUGAAGUCAUGAAAAUCUACGAUUUUGAAGCUUUAAACCCCACCAUAUAUCUGGAACUAGCAUGCAUUGAAUUAUAUCAUUUAUUUUUAACAUACCUUCUGAAACAAAAAUGUGAUCCAGUAAUCUUGAAGAUUUAUGCUACAUAUUAUUAUAUGAAUCAUAUUUUAAUUACAGUGAAUUAUUUUAUAGACCAAAAUAGGAGAGUACCAAUGGGUAGUCCAUUAUCCCCAAUAAUUGCUGAAUUAAUCGUAAGAAGAAAAGGACAAUCAGCCCUACCUAUAUUAAAUAAUGAGUAAAAAUUUACAAAAGCUAUGUCGACAACAUAUUAAUUAUCAGAGAGAAAAAAAAAAGAAAAUAUGUUGGCUAUUGAACACAUUAUUUCUGAUGUGAACCUGGGACUAAUUUAAAAAAAAAAAAAUCCAACAAAUUAGAAAUAAAUUAUUUUAGUUUUAUAAAACUGGUAAAACUCAUCACAAUAGCAGUUGUGGGAAGGCUUUUUUAAUUGAACAAACGUUUUUGGUGGGAUUGCUUACCAUCAUCGGGCUUACAACUGAAAGAAGUUUCUUUCGGGUAUAAGCCUAAUGAUGGUAGGCGGUCUUGCCGAAGGCGUUUGUUUGGUUGAAAAUGUUUUUCCACAGCUGUUAUUGUAUCAAGUUUUAUUCCUUAUAUAACAAUACUGUAAACAU